This is a small nucleolar RNA of Elaeis guineensis (African oil palm), 105 nucleotides long. The record is from RefSeq and is a predicted model, not a curated record. Lineage: Eukaryota; Viridiplantae; Streptophyta; Magnoliopsida; Arecales; Arecaceae.
AUGGCAUGGUGGAACAUUUUGUAAUUAAUUCUUUUAAUCUCUCUCAUGUUUCAUGGAACAUCUCACCAUCCAUCUUGGAAAAACUUGUGAUGGCUUUUCUAAUUU